AAUAGAUACCCUGGUAGUCCACGCCGUAAACGAUGAGUGCUAAGUGUUAGAGGGUUUCCGCCCUUUAGUGCUGAAGUUAACGCAUUAAGCACUCCGCCUGGGGAGUACGGCCGCAAGGCUGAAACUCAAAGGAAUUGACGGGGGCCCGCACAAGCGGUGGAGCAUGUGGUUUAAUUCGAAGCAACGCGAAGAACCUUACCAGGUCUUGACAUCCUCUGACAACCCUAGAGAUAGGGCUUCUCCUUCGGGAGCAGAGUGACAAGUGGUGCAUGGUUGUCGUCAGCUCGUGUCGUGAGAUGUUGGGUUAAGUCCCACAACGAGCGCAACCCUUGAUCUUAGUUGCCAUCAUUAAGUUGGGCACUCUAAGGUGACUGCCGGUGACAAACCGGAGGAAGGUGGGGAUGACGUCAAAUCAUCAUGCCCCUUAUGACCUGGGCUACACACGUGCUACAAUGGACGGUACAAAGAGCUGCAAGACCGCGAGGUGAGCUAAUCUCAUAAAACCGUUCUCAAUUCGGA
RNAcentral lists this ribosomal RNA (519 nucleotides) under uncultured bacterium. RNAcentral describes it as "bacterial SSU rRNA". It matches the Rfam family "Bacterial small subunit ribosomal RNA", at positions 777 to 1297 of the family's 1533-position model. The record is from RNAcentral.